Molecule: long non-coding RNA, 329 nt
Organism: Dromaius novaehollandiae (emu)
Lineage: Eukaryota; Metazoa; Chordata; Aves; Casuariiformes; Dromaiidae
Exons: 2
Source: RefSeq, a predicted model, not a curated record
CCUUUGCCUAUUAUUUUUUGGCACAUGCAAAAAUGGAUCUUUGGUUACUGCUGUGGAUACUGUGUUAUUCAAUAAUAGCCUUAAUCCUGAGAUCUUAACUGGAUUUUCUUCUCAGUGCUGACAAAUGUUUCAACCAGCGUGUUGUAUGAAGUAGAGUCAGGAUCUGCACCCCAUUGUUCCUUAUUUCGUGGUCUUUCUGCUCACCUGUACAGGAUUUGGAAGACUGCCUUCCGAGCUGUGAUUUGCAAGACAGCAGAUCACAUUUCUCCCUGGGACUGUACAAAAUACAUGUCUGUCAGUACAAAUAAAAUCUCUUUUAUUUGCUGUCA